GUUGAAAGGAUUGUUGAUCAUUCACACUGUUAGACGGUCUUGGAUGGGUCCUUUGGUCUCCCGAGAUUCUGCAUUCUGUAAACACGAGUCAAGGAUACUUACGUUGAGGUGAGAUACUACUGUGUGGUUUUGGUGCCUGAGAAAUCCAUAGCUGAUAACACCGCCACGUCCGCGUCGUGGUCCUGAAUAAUCUAAAAAGCGGUGCAGGUA
Long non-coding RNA from Fopius arisanus, 210 nucleotides. RefSeq lists it as uncharacterized. The record is from RefSeq and is a predicted model, not a curated record. NCBI's taxonomy places the organism in Eukaryota, Metazoa, Arthropoda, Insecta, Hymenoptera, Braconidae. The transcript has 3 exons.